RNAcentral lists this ribosomal RNA (745 nucleotides) under uncultured bacterium. Its description in RNAcentral is "bacterial SSU rRNA". It matches the Rfam family "Bacterial small subunit ribosomal RNA", at positions 33 to 773 of the family's 1533-position model. The record is from RNAcentral.
ACGCUGGCGGCAGGCCUAACACAUGCAAGUCGAGCGGUGGAGAAAAGCUUGCUUCUCUUGAGAGCGGCGGACGGGUGAGUAAUGCCUAGGAAUCUGCCUGGUAGUGGGGGAUAACGUUCGGAAACGGACGCUAAUACCGCAUACGUCCUACGGGAGAAAGCAGGGGACCUUCGGGCCUUGCGCUAUCAGAUGAGCCUAGGUCGGAUUAGCUAGUUGGUGAGGUAAUGGCUCACCAAGGCGACGAUCCGUAACUGGUCUGAGAGGAUGAUCAGUCACACUGGAACUGAGACACGGUCCAGACUCCUACGGGAGGCAGCAGUGGGGAAUAUUGGACAAUGGGCGAAAGCCUGAUCCAGCCAUGCCGCGUGUGUGAAGAAGGUCUUCGGAUUGUAAAGCACUUUAAGUUGGGAGGAAGGGCAGUUACCUAAUACGUGAUUGUUUUGACGUUACCGACAGUAUAAGCACCGGCUAACUCUGUGCCAGCAGCCGCGGUAAUACAGAGGGUGCAAGCGUUAAUCGGAAUUACUGGGCGUAAAGCGCGCGUAGGUGGUUUGUUAAGUUGGAUGUGAAAUCCCCGGGCUCAACCUGGGAACUGCAUUCAAAACUGACUGACUAGAGUAUGGUAGAGGGUGGUGGAAUUUCCUGUGUAGCGGUGAAAUGCGUAGAUAUAGGAAGGAACACCAGUGGCGAAGGCGACCACCUGGACUGAUACUGACACUGAGGUGCGAAAGCGUGGGGAGCAAAC